Molecule: microRNA precursor, 103 nt
Filed under: Marmota monax (woodchuck)
Lineage: Eukaryota; Metazoa; Chordata; Mammalia; Rodentia; Sciuridae
Source: RNAcentral
AGAGGGAUAGCUGGGUCAAAUGGUGGUUCCAUUCCCAGAUUUCCAAGGAAUCUCCAUACUGCUUUCUAUAUUGGCUGCACCAGUUUGCAGUCCCACCAGCAAU